AGACCAUCAGAGCCGUGAGCGCAGAACCUUUCCAGAACCUGACCCUUACCUCGACUCUGCCCUUUCACCUGGACCUGCAUGCCUGUGAUGAAUCCCAAGGCGCCACCAGCAUUUCUGUAACACAGAUGCACCAGUAAGGAGCUGGAAAACGUUGCUGGAGAGAGGGACGUCUGGAAUACCCUUCUUAGCCUGCUGACCCGGCCCUGGAUAAAUGGAAGAAGAUGGAUUGAUGGAUGGAUGGACCUCUCCACUACUUGUUUUGAUUAUAAACCUAUAUAUUUAUUUCUAUUUUCAUUGUACUUCACAGUUGGUGGGUUAUCUUACUAUGUAUAAAAAUGUGGCACAUGAAUAAAUACGGGUGAAUAAAGUUCUGCCUCUUAUUAAUUCAAUCUCAUUUAGUAGCUGUUCUGGAGCUUUUGCUUGUA
Molecule: long non-coding RNA, 425 nt
Organism: Anoplopoma fimbria (sablefish)
Lineage: Eukaryota; Metazoa; Chordata; Actinopteri; Perciformes; Anoplopomatidae
Exons: 3
Source: RefSeq, a predicted model, not a curated record